This 215-nucleotide long non-coding RNA is filed under the name Mytilus galloprovincialis (Mediterranean mussel). Lineage: Eukaryota; Metazoa; Mollusca; Bivalvia; Mytilida; Mytilidae. The record is from RNAcentral.
UUGUGGGUCGUUGGAAAACAAGUUCGUUCACCGGACAACGGCUUAUUAUUUAUAUGAGUCUCAGAUUCAAAUAAAUAAUAAGCAAAAACUUGAAUUCCUACUCUUAUAGAACACAAAUAUUUUAAUUUACUUUGCAUUCCGAAAUUUUUUUAACAGCAUAUUGAGAUUAAAGCUCUCUAAAUAUGCGUUUUCUAUAUGAGUUAUGGGAAAAUAUG